Long non-coding RNA from Colias croceus (clouded yellow), 480 nucleotides. RefSeq lists it as uncharacterized. Lineage: Eukaryota; Metazoa; Arthropoda; Insecta; Lepidoptera; Pieridae. The record is from RefSeq and is a predicted model, not a curated record. The transcript has 3 exons.
AAUGAUAUGCGAAUAUUUUUUUGCUUUGCCUUUAAGUAUUAUAUUCGACAAGAAAACAUAGUAUAGUUUCGUAGUGUUGAUUGCAUAGUGCAUACACAUGAUUACCCUUGUAAGAAAUCAAUGGAAAAGAAAACAAUAACACGUUUUUACCAAGAUAUUGUGAUUCGCGGUAUCGUGAGAACGCACACGUUUGAAACGUCGCUAAUGAAGAAUCGCGUGAAAGGCGAAACUUACGCAUAGAUUAUACGCACGAAAAAGAUAGAAAAUAAAAUUAAAUGAAUUCCAAAAUCAAAAUUCUAGUAACUCUUUUAUCUGUGGUAUUUGCAUUUGAUAACAGACGAUGUUUGUUAUUCAGGGGAAUGUGUGUGGCACAUUGUCCACGGCACAUGCAUCCAUACCAUACGCGAUGUAAUGGUCAAACCUUAUCGCAGAAAACAUGUGAUGAACCGCAGGUUUAUGUAUUAGGAUACACGUGUGGCU